RNAcentral lists this long non-coding RNA (1231 nucleotides) under Lepisosteus oculatus (spotted gar). Its description in RNAcentral is "lncRNA (ENSLOCG00000021895.1)". Lineage: Eukaryota; Metazoa; Chordata; Actinopteri; Semionotiformes; Lepisosteidae. The record is from RNAcentral.
AAACAAUAAACGCAUGUAGCUGCCCUAAACUUAAGACGUAUCACAAAUGAAAUAUAACAUAAACAGUUCUUACCAUUUUGAAGCGAAGACCUUAGGUCUCAAUACCAUGUUAUGACUCUAGAAAUCCUCAUAGCAGAAAUCACAUCUUCUUGGAGAGAGCACACUGGGCGUGAAGCCGGAUUGAAAGAUCGCUCUGCCCUCUUCCAAAAAUAUCCUGUGUGUCAAGCUUAGCGGACGGGGGCAGUUUGUUUGUUUCUUUCUGUCCGGGAGUUUCACAAGCGGCUGGGAAGGUAAAAGGAGAGACCCAGUGUACAGUAAGUAAGGUUAUCUGUGAUUUGAGUAAGACGGGCUUUCGGCUACCUAGAGUAGGAGUCUCCUCCUCCUGUCUCCCAGCGCCAACCUCAGUGCGGACGAGCUGCCCCGCCUGUAGACUCGGGCUGUAGGAGAGCUCCACACUUCUGCUCCACAAACAUCUUUCCGCGUCCGCUUUUCCCGAGACGGAAAGGCAUCGCGUCUGCAGAGCAAGAACUAAGCAGCAUGGAUGUGACUGCUCUUCAGUUCUGUGCUGAUCUCAACACCUGGCGUCCCGUUUCCCAGGCACCAGUGCUCUGCUGCGAGACGUACCUUCAGCGGGCUCAUGCCUUUACUGCACGGAGGUAUUUAUCAGCGAUUCCUAACCUGGAGCUGGCUGAAGAAGACCUGACACCUCAAGUAGGCUCAUCAGCUGAAACGUUGUGUUACUUCUUUCUACUUUGCAGGGCAGAUUCAACUUGACCUCCUCUGUUGUCAUUGCAUUGUUACCUAAUAUCAUUUGAUCAGACUUGUAACACAUCUCAUGGGAGUUAAGAUGAGUGUUACUAUGAUGUCACUGGCCAGACAAGUUGCCCAUGCUGUCUUCCUGGCGUCUCUGUGUCUUGGACUUCUCUGCCUGUUGGUACGUGGCUCAGGGCUGGGAGAUGACUGAGAGCUGACCAGGGGACUGACAGCUUUUGGGGAUGCUUGUGAGAUGGACUGCAAGGCUGUCACACAAUACUGCAUGGUGUAUCUGGUGUCCCAUAUUUUUGAGAGGAUUGUUGUUUUGUCAAUUGUUCAGUACUUUAACAAUCUUUAACAUCACUGUGGUAUAAUACUUGCAAUUCAGGCAGAAGUACUGUCGAUAAACUAUCAUGCAAGCUUUAUUACCUUCCAAGGUUUCUUUGUUUGCCAAAUAAACUGGAGGAGAGAAAAAUAU